CCUCUAACCCUAAUUCAGUGCCGCCUUCCUUCACUCUCAUCUUCCUCACUAUGCGACACACACACACCAUGGGAAAGAAAAGAAAAGAAAGAAAGGAAAAAAAGAGAGACAUAGACCCGAGAGAAAGUAGAGAUCAGAACAGAAGGAAAGGAGGGGGGACUUUGCCGCCGCCGAUCUACCGCCGGGCAGCUGCACGCGAGGAGCCUGGUCCACUGCCGCUGUCUAACAUUCUUCCAUCGUCAUCACAGCCACACGCAAGGAAGCUUUGCCAUCACAAAAACCCAAGAUGGAGAGGAGAGAACGCGAGGAGGAGCCGUUCACAUCGGUUGCUGUGACCUCGCCGUAAGGACCCCUACCGCCGCGCACCGCCAUCGUUUGUGGAGAAGUCACCAUCAAGCCCAAGUCCAAAGGAGAGAGAAAGAGGCUAUCACGAAUUAGAACAGAGAAAAGGGAGAGAACCAUUGCGAAAGGGGAGGGGGAGGACGCUGUCUCACCGUGCGCCGUCGUUGCAGGAGCCGACCUCGUCGUUGCCGCUGCAAUCUCCUCCCCCGGCCGUGGUAGUUUUGGUUCUGUUCUAGCCAUGGUUGUCGAGGAAUACUAUUGAGGUAGUUGAGGUUUUUCUGUCAUCAUCAGAACUGCUACGGAUGUUACUGUCGCUCUGUUUCCCACGAUUUCCCUUAUUACAGGUCGAGUUUCGGGUCUUGCAUGUUGAGUUUUAUGGUUGUCGCAUGUAACACCUAGCUGCUGCGUCGUCAUCGGAGCUCUCUGCCACUGUGCGAAUCGUUGAGAGUUGUCACCAGAGCUGCUAUGGUUCCAUUCUCUUGUUCCUCUAUUACUGUUGUUGGUUGGUGCCUUUGUGGGUGUUGCCGCUGCAAAAUCUAGUUGGGGUUGACGCCGUUGUUUUUGAGCUGAGCGAAAGGAGUUCAAUUGAAGCGUAGGGUUCGGAUUUCGACUAUUUAAGGUAGGGUUUUUCAUAAAAUUUUAUUUCCAUUACAGAGUUGUUAUAAAUAGAUAUUCAGGUAAAAAAUAUAUUUAUGUGAAUACGUUUGUCUUAUGAAUGUGGCUGUUUGCUGGUUUGAAAUACUGAUUGCUGAGAGGUGUGUGGUUGAUGAUGAAAACUUGAUUGGUAAAGUUAUCUGGUUGAAUAUUAUGAAAGGUAGUUUUUCUUGGUUUUGGAGUUAAGUUAAUAAUGUAAAUGAAUCGGUUUUGAGAAUAAUAUGUGAUAUGAAAAUAAAUUAAUUCUGGGAGCGGUUUGAUUUCGAGUUGGUCUGAUUUUAUAAUUGAUUUAAUAUUUGAGCUGGUUUGAUUUUAAAAAGAUUUUUAUUAUUGGAAUUGGUUCGAUUUGGAAAUAAUUUGAUAUUGGAACUAGUUGAAUUUUGGAAAAUGAUUGAGAUUUGGAAAUGGUUGAGAAAAGGUUUGAGAAAUGUUUGGAUGAACCCGAAAAGGGUGGCAGAAUUCGAGUUUUAGAGGAGAUGCUGCCAAAAUUUUAUAAAGCUAGAAGUUUCGUUGGAAGUAGUUAUUUUAAAAAGGUUUAAUUUUAAGCAUUAUAUUGUUUAAGAUUACUUUAUUUAUCAAAAAAAGAAUUAUGUUUUGAAUUGGGAUUGUUAAUGAACGGAAUGGAAAGAAGGAUGAUGAUGAUUUUCUUUGAAAUAUGGUUUCUAAAUGAAUUUGAAAAUGAGAUAUGGAUUGAUGAAUGAUGAUGAUGUUGAGAAUGUUGAACUUAUGAAUUUGGAAAUGAAAUAUGGCUUAUGAAUUUGAAUUAUCUGAGAUACGAGGUUCCCUGGAUAAAGUGUCGUGGCUUGCCACCACGUGUACCAGGUUGAAAACUCGAUACUCUAUUGACCAUAUGACGUAUGUGUGACCGGGCACUAUAUAAAUUCCUGGGAAUGUUACCCCUAUUGAGCAAUAUUGAUUAUUUGAGAAAAAGCUAUGCAUAGACUCUUGGGGAUGCACGUCGGGGGACAGUCUAAGGACAAUUCAGACUUGUCGGGUUGGCUGGAUAACCGACAGAUGAGCCACAUCAGCCAAAGGACAGGCAUGCAUCAUAUGCAUUUGUAUACUUUGCUUGGGUUUGAACUUGUUUUGGUUUGCCUAAUUGUUAAACUGUUCUUAACUACUACCUGAACUAUUUGCUGUAAUUGCUAACUAAACUUGUGCUUUCUUUAUCUGUUUUGCAUGUGUUUGUUCUGGCGUGCUACCUUUGAGAAUGAGCUUUGGUGCUGAAUUGAUGAUUGUGUUGAUUGAUUUUGUGGUUGGUCUCAGAUUAAGAUUUUCUUAUAAAAAGAAAGGGUUUGAAUUUUUGAAAUAUUGAAUAUUGUUUCUUUAAAAAGGUUUUGAACGAUUAGUUAUUGGUUUUAAAAAAAAUUCAUAAGGCAAUGAUAAUCACUGAGCUUGAAAACUGUUUUCUUAUUAAAUAUCUUCUUAUGACAAUUCUGAAACUCUGUGGUAAGACCUUGUGGUUAGGUUCUCACCCCCUACAGCUUUACCUUUUCAGGAAUCAGAUGAAGAACUAUUAUGAAGAGUUAUACUGCAUUUUAGUUUAUAUGAUAUUGUAUUAAUUAUAUUAUUUAUCUUCCCUUGUCUUUGUUAUUACAAUUCUGUAAGAGGGAUAGGAGAUUUGUGUUUUAUAUGUAUAUUAUUUUAUUAGCUAUUAGGUAAGAAAUCUUGUAUAUGAAUCUGUGUUUGGGUUUUUUUAAGAUAAAGUAUUUAUUUUUCGGUUUUCAAUGAAAUUCGCAAUAUGAUGUCGAGUCACAGGCUUCUAUUUUAAUAUUAAGUAUAUAGAGUAGUCGUAAUACUUCUUGCUAUCAGAGUGGCGCAGCCGAAAGUGUGACAGUCUGGUAGUGAAGGUGUUACAAUUAAACCAUCUUCCACUAAAUAUAAUCUUUUCUAACCCCUCAUGAAUCAUCAGCUGAACCAUAGUAGAAGGAAAAGAAACAUUGA
Molecule: long non-coding RNA, 2940 nt
Organism: Arachis duranensis
Lineage: Eukaryota; Viridiplantae; Streptophyta; Magnoliopsida; Fabales; Fabaceae
Exons: 3
Source: RefSeq, a predicted model, not a curated record